Molecule: long non-coding RNA, 511 nt
Filed under: Helianthus annuus (common sunflower)
Lineage: Eukaryota; Viridiplantae; Streptophyta; Magnoliopsida; Asterales; Asteraceae
Source: RNAcentral
UGCCACUGCCACCACCUAACAUCUAUCGCCACCUAACAACCUCCACCACCUAACAAGCAUUUCUAACGCCCAAUUAUUGGGUUUCAUAUCAGUCUGUGAAACUUAUGGAGCUCAAAAAUCAACCAAAUAUCGAAAAUGAGUACUAUGAUUCGAAACAAAAGAUCUGUAACAUCGGGACGGAUCCGUGUGGGAGGGAGAGGGUGAGAAACAAAGAAACAUCUUUUUUUUUCAGAUCGCCAGAAUAAACGUGAAGGAAAGUUGCGAUGGUGGUGCAUAGCCGUCAGAAUGAGAUGAAGACGAGUGGGGAUACGGUGGUGGCGUCUUGUUGGUGGGAGAGAGUGCCUGUUGCAGAGAUGGCGGCUGUGGAUGGUCGAUUACGGUGCUGGUGACAGUAUGAGUGGAGGUGGUUUCAGAUGGUAGGUUUAGAAAGAGAAAGGGGUGUCGGUGGUGGCUAUCACUAGUGGUGGGGUUUGUUGAAGAGAGAGAGAGAGAGAGUGAAAGCUGGAUAAGA